ACGCUCGACACCUACGGGGGGCAGCAGUGGGGAAUAUUGCACAAUGGGGGAAACCCUGAUGCAGCGACGCCGCGUGAGCGAAGAAGUAUCUCGGUAUGUAAAGCUCUAUCAGCAGGGAAGAAGAUGACGGUACCUGACUAAGAAGCACCGGCUAAAUACGUGCCUGCAGCCGCGGUAAUCUGAGCGGGCUGGCAAGGC
RNAcentral lists this ribosomal RNA (198 nucleotides) under uncultured bacterium. RNAcentral describes it as "partial 16S ribosomal RNA". It matches the Rfam family "Bacterial small subunit ribosomal RNA", at positions 328 to 539 of the family's 1533-position model. The record is from RNAcentral.